This 468-nucleotide ribosomal RNA is filed under the name uncultured bacterium. RNAcentral describes it as "partial 16S ribosomal RNA". It matches the Rfam family "Bacterial small subunit ribosomal RNA", at positions 28 to 507 of the family's 1533-position model. The record is from RNAcentral.
GACGAACGCUGGCGGCGUGCUUAACACAUGCAAGUCGAACGGAAAGGCCCUGCUUUUGUGGGGUGCUCGAGUGGCGAACGGGUGAGUAACACGUGAGUAACCUGCCCUUGACUUUGGGAUAACUUCAGGAAACUGGGGCUAAUACCGGAUAGGAGCUCCUGCUGCAUGGUGGUGGUUGGAAAGUUUCGGCGGUUGGGGAUGGACUCGCGGCUUAUCAGCUUGUUGGUGGGGUAGUGGCUUACCAAGGCUUUGACGGGUAGCCGGCCUGAGAGGGUGACCGGCCACAUUGGGACUGAGAUACGGCGCAGACUCCUACGGGAGGCAGCAGGGGGGAAUAUUGCACAAUGGGCGGAAGCCUGAUGCAGCAACGCCGCGUGCGGGAUGACGGCCUUCGGGUUGUAAACCGCUUUCGCCUGUGACGAAGCGUGAGUGACGGUAAUGGGUAAAGAAGCACCGGCUAACCACGUG